This 497-nucleotide ribosomal RNA is filed under the name uncultured bacterium. RNAcentral describes it as "partial 16S ribosomal RNA". It matches the Rfam family "Bacterial small subunit ribosomal RNA", at positions 28 to 507 of the family's 1533-position model. The record is from RNAcentral.
GAUGAACGCUGGCGGCGUGCCUAAUACAUGCAAGUCGAGCGAACAGAUGAGGAGCUUGCUCCUCUUACGUUAGCGGCGGACGGGUGAGUAACACGUGGAUAACCUACCUAUAAUACUGGGAUAACUUCGGGAAACCGGAGCUAAUACCGGAUAAUAUAUUGAACCGCAUGGUUCAAUAGUGAAAGACGGUUUUGCUGUCACUUAUAGAUUGUUCCGCGCCGCAUUAGCUAGUUGGUAAGGUAACGGCUUACCAAGGCAACGAUGCGUAGCCGACCUGAGAGGGUGAUCGGCAACACUGGAACUGAGACACGGACCAGACUCCUACGGGAGGCAGCAGUAGGGAAUCUUCCGCAAUGGGCGAAAGCUUGACGGAGCAACGCCGCGUGAGUGAUGAAGGUCUUCGGAUCGUAAAACUCUGUUAUUAGGGAAGAACAAAUGUGUAAGUAACUAUGCACGUCUUGACGGUACCUAAUCAGAAAGCCACGGCUAACUACGUG